RNAcentral lists this small RNA (2061 nucleotides) under Pan troglodytes (chimpanzee). RNAcentral's name for it is "retained intron". Lineage: Eukaryota; Metazoa; Chordata; Mammalia; Primates; Hominidae. The record is from RNAcentral.
CUUCGGGCCCCACAGUCCCUGCACCCAGGUUUCCAUUGCGCGGCUCUCCUCAGCUCCUUCCCGCCGCCCAGCCUGGAUCCUGGGGGAGGCGCUGAAGUCGGGGCCCGCCCUGUGGCCCCGCCCGGCCCGCGCUUGCUAGCGCCCAAAGCCAGCGAAGCACGGGCCCGACCGGGCCAUGUCGGGGGAGCCUGAGCUCAUUGAGCUGCGGGAGCUGGCACCCGCUGGGCGCGCUGGGCAGGGCCGCACCCGGCUGGAGCGUGCCAACGCGCUGCGCAUCGCGCGGGGCACCGCGUGCAACCCCACACGGCAGCUGGUCCCUGGCCGUGGCCACCGCUUCCAGCCCGCGGGGCCCGCCACGCACACGUGGUGCGACCUCUGUGGCGACUUCAUCUGGGGCGUCGUGCGCAAAGGCCUGCAGUGCGCGCAUUGCAAGUUCACCUGCCACUACCGCUGCCGCGCGCUCGUCUGCCUGGACUGUUGCGGGCCCCGGGACCUGGGCUGGGAACCCGCGGUGGAGCGGGACACGAACGUGGUGAGCGCGGGGCCGAGGGCGUAUGGGAAGGGCGAGGAUGGGCAGGCCACAGUGCAGGCAUUCUCGAGGGCUGCCUGGGUGCCGCGCGCAAGGAGCGUUCUAAUUGCCGAUUUCCCGGCGGCAGAGAGAGGCUAAUUCUGCGCGGGGACUGGGAGGGGAGCCUGGAUUGCCGGCUCCGCAAGGACUCCACCCGCUGCAAGCGGACCCGGGCCCAGGCUGACCCAGGCUCCGCGCACGCGCACUUCCCGCACCUUCCCGCCCUCGCCUCCGGCCAGAGGCCACUCUUGUGCGCUUGCCCGGACGCUGGCACCCGCCCCCGUUCCCUGUGGUAGGUGGGGUCUGUGAGUGGAGCUGCCGGAGCGAUGAGGUCAUUCCUGGGGGCGAAGCGUGCGUGUCCCCGCCCCGGCGUUCCUGCCCCAAUGAGACAAGAGCUAGAUCCCGGCGAUCUACGUUUCAGUCUUAACGGUUGCGGCGCGGCUCUGGCCCGGGCGCACGCGCACACUGACACGCGUACACGCACGCACGCGACCGGGGCGGUGGUUGGCGGCUACGGACGCGCGGGACUGGGGGACGGGCGGGUACGGCUAUGGGCGAGGCGGAGGCGCCUUCUUUCGAAAUGACCUGGAGCAGCACGACGAGCAGUGGCUACUGCAGCCAAGAGGACUCGGACUCGGAGCUCGAGCAGUACUUCACCGCGCGAACCUCGCUAGCGCGCAGGCCGCGCCGGGACCAGGUGGGAGCCAGGGGGUGCCGGCGGGCGGGAGGGGAGGCGGUCGCUGGAGCUCCGCCCUCCCCGGUCCGUUGCCGCGUCCUGGGUCGGUGGGCAGCCCCACCCUCCUGGCUACGUGGCUCCCCGCGGGUCCUGGCCGGGGACCUGCCCGCGGAACCGUGCGUAAGACCCCGAUUCCACCGCCUAGAUGCAGGGUGCCGGGGCCCCCUUGGUUUCUGUCACAGACAGGUUGAACACGGAAAAAGCAGCUGUGUGGCUUGUGGUAGACCUGAGCCGGGCAUUAUCCAGCUAUGACUAAAGCCGACCGAGCAGUCUGGACUAGCACCUCGAUUUCCGCGUUCGAAUGCUCCUGCUCCCUCCUUGGGGAGACUAGGGGAGGAUGUGGAGAGGGAAGAGUCCUCGCCAGGAAUUGAGAAGUAUGUUUAGGAAAACUUGAGAGGCAGAGAGAGAUCCUGCUCCUCCAUCUGCACUCCUGUAUGGAGCCAGCUGAGCCCUCACCUCUUCCCUGUUCUGGCCUGUCACCAGCUGCUGGAAUGUGGAAGAUUCUGAUCCCUUCCUCUAGGGUGGAUCUGGAGAAAGAUUUGGGAAUAGAUAGGAAAGAAGUCUUGUUUUGGACCAUAAGCAUUCAGGAGCACUUUACCCACAGGAAGGGGGAAAGCUAGAUUAUAAAAUGCCUAAAGAGGUGGAAAAAGAGAUCCAGGUUACUAACCCAGGACUGUAAGGUGUCUCGGAACCUCCUUGGUAUCCCCAUUAUCAGAGAACUGUGUGCCAGAUGCCAUUGGUGUGACCACCAGGCUCA